UACGUAGGCGGCAAGCGUUGUCCGGAAUCAUUGGGCGUAAAGGGAGCGCAGGCGGACAUUUAAGCGUAUCUUAAAAGUGCGGGGCUCAACCCCGUGAUGGGAUAGGAACUGGAUGUCUUGAGUGCAGGAGAGGAAAGCGGAAUUCCCAGUGUAGCGGUGAAAUGCGUAGAUAUUGGGAAGAACACCAGUGGCGAAGGCGGCUUUCUGGACUGUAACUGACGCUGAGGCUCGAAAGCUAGGGUAGCGAACGGG
This 252-nucleotide ribosomal RNA is filed under the name uncultured bacterium. Its description in RNAcentral is "partial 16S ribosomal RNA". It matches the Rfam family "Bacterial small subunit ribosomal RNA", at positions 524 to 776 of the family's 1533-position model. The record is from RNAcentral.